RNAcentral lists this ribosomal RNA (386 nucleotides) under Foraminifera environmental sample. RNAcentral describes it as "partial Bacterial small subunit ribosomal RNA". It matches the Rfam family "Bacterial small subunit ribosomal RNA", at positions 11 to 401 of the family's 1533-position model. Lineage: Eukaryota; Foraminifera. The record is from RNAcentral.
GUUUGAUCAUGGCUCAGAUUGAACGCUGGCGGCAGGCUUAACACAUGCAAGUCGAGCGGUAACAGAGAUAGCUUGCUAUCUGCUGACGAGCGGCGGACGGGUGAGUAACGCGUAGGAAACUACCCGGUAGUGGGGGACAACCGUUGGAAACGACGGCUAAUACCGCAUACGCUCUACGGAGGAAAGGGGGCUUCGGCUCUCGCUAUCGGAUGUGCCUGCGUGAGAUUAGCUAGUUGGUGGGGUAAAGGCCUACCAAGGCGACGAUCUCUAGCUGGUCUGAGAGGAUGAUCAGCCACACUGGGACUGAGACACGGCCCAGACUCCUACGGGAGGCAGCAGUGGGGAAUAUUGGACAAUGGGCGCAAGCCUGAUCCAGCCAUGCCGCG